GCCGGAAUGGUGGAAUUGGUAGACACGCAAGACUUAAAAUCUUGUGACUUUCGAGUCGUGUGGGUUCAAGUCCCACUUCUGGCA
Molecule: transfer RNA, 84 nt
Organism: Reichenbachiella faecimaris
Lineage: Bacteria; Pseudomonadati; Bacteroidota; Cytophagia; Cytophagales; Reichenbachiellaceae
Rfam family: tRNA
About the family: Transfer RNA (tRNA) molecules are approximately 80 nucleotides in length. Their secondary structure includes four short double-helical elements and three loops (D, anti-codon, and T loops). Further hydrogen bonds mediate the characteristic L-shaped molecular structure. tRNAs have two regions of fundamental functional importance: the anti-codon, which is responsible for specific mRNA codon recognition, and the 3' end, to which the tRNAs corresponding amino acid is attached (by aminoacyl-tRNA synthetases). tRNAs cope with the degeneracy of the genetic code in two manners: having more than one tRNA (with a specific anti-codon) for a particular amino acid; and 'wobble' base-pairing, i.e. permitting non-standard base-pairing at the 3rd anti-codon position.
Source: Rfam